Molecule: transfer RNA, 68 nt
Filed under: Micromonospora endolithica
Lineage: Bacteria; Bacillati; Actinomycetota; Actinomycetes; Micromonosporales; Micromonosporaceae
Description: tRNA-Asp
Rfam family: tRNA
About the family: Transfer RNA (tRNA) molecules are approximately 80 nucleotides in length. Their secondary structure includes four short double-helical elements and three loops (D, anti-codon, and T loops).
Source: RNAcentral
GCCCGCUCAGGGGGAGCGCCGGCCGGUCAAGCCGGAGGUCGCCGGUUCGAAACCGGUAAGGGGCGCCA